GUGCUAAGGUAGCAUAAUCAUUUGUCUUCUAAUUAAAGACUGGAACAAAAGAUUUAACAUUUCCACUAAUAUUAAUAAUCUAAUAUUCUAAAUUAAUAUUAAUAUUAAAAAGUAUUAAUAUAUAAGAAAGACGAUAAGACCCUAUUGAACUUUACUUAAGUUUAACUGGGGCAGUUUAAUAAAUAAUAUUUUAAAUAUUAAAAUAAUCAAUAAAAAAGCUAUUAAAAUUAAUAAAUCAGUUACCAUAGGGAUAACAGCGUUAUAAUUAUUAUAAGUUCUUAUAUAAAUAAAAGAUUACGACCUCGAUGUUGAAUUUAUACCCUAUUUCAUUAAAGCAAACUUUAAAAAAGGAAGUCUGUUCGACUUUUAAAAAAUAACAUGAUUUGAGUUCAGACCGGUGUAAGCCAGGUCGGUUUCCAUCUUCUAAUAAUAUAUUUUACAGUACGAAAGGACCUAAAAAACUAAUUAAAUUAAUUUAAUUGGCAGAUAAAUGCAUUAGAAUUAGAAUCUAAUAAAACUUAA
Molecule: ribosomal RNA, 522 nt
Filed under: Echeclus sp. UBC SEM M.Bodner MRB089
Lineage: Eukaryota; Metazoa; Arthropoda; Arachnida; Araneae; Salticidae
Description: partial 16S ribosomal RNA
Rfam family: Bacterial large subunit ribosomal RNA (bases 125-425)
Source: RNAcentral